Molecule: long non-coding RNA, 283 nt
Filed under: Setaria viridis
Lineage: Eukaryota; Viridiplantae; Streptophyta; Magnoliopsida; Poales; Poaceae
Description: long non-coding RNA (SVIR_LNC001828)
Source: RNAcentral
UCAGAUGUAAUGGAACUCCUGAAAUCCGGCUAUGGUUCGCCUGAAGUUGUGUGCGGAGUUAAGACAGAUGCUAACUAAGAUGGCAAGAGGACAUAUGUAUCUCCUUUAUACAGUUGUGUUGUGUUGCAUUGUCGGCAAGAGUUGCAUUGGAGGAUUUAACUUGUGCGUUCCUAUCUGUUAAGGAAUAUUUCUGAGUUUAUGGAAUUGAUGGGACGUUAACUCUUGCAGAUGGCGCAGUGCACUAGGUCCGGCUCUGUGCCCAGCAGCAGCGAGCCAAGACAAG